UACGUAGGGUGCAAGCGUGUCCGGAAUUAUUGGGCGUAAAGAGCUCGUAGGCGGUUUGUUGCGUCGGCUGUGAAAUCCCGAGGCUCAACCUCGGGUCUGCAGUCGAUACGAGCAAACUAGAGUGUUGCAGGGGAGACUGGAAUUCCUGGUGUAGCGGUGAAAAUGCGCAGAUAUCAGGAGGAACACCGGUGGGCGAAGGCGGGGUCUCUGGG
RNAcentral lists this ribosomal RNA (212 nucleotides) under uncultured bacterium. Its description in RNAcentral is "partial 16S ribosomal RNA". It matches the Rfam family "Bacterial small subunit ribosomal RNA", at positions 524 to 733 of the family's 1533-position model. The record is from RNAcentral.